GACAGUGUAGCAUAGCGGUAAGGAGCAGGGCUUGUAACCUAAAGGUUGCCGGUUCGAUUCCCCCGCACUGCUG
Molecule: transfer RNA, 73 nt
Filed under: Megalops atlanticus (tarpon)
Lineage: Eukaryota; Metazoa; Chordata; Actinopteri; Elopiformes; Megalopidae
Description: tRNA-OTHER
Source: RNAcentral